GUGGGGAAUAUUGGACAAUGGGGGCAACCCUGAUCCAGCGACGCCGCGUGGGUGAAGAAGGCCUGCGGGUUGUAAAGCCCUUUCGUUGGGGAAGAAAAGUCUCGACCUAAUACGUCGGGACCGUGACGUUACCCAAAGAAGAAGCACCGGCUAACUCUGUGCCAGCAGCCGCGGUAAUACAGAGGGUGCGAGCGUUAAUCGGAAUUACUGGGCGUAAAGCGCACGUAGAUGGCUUUGUAAGUCAGAUGUGAAAUCCCCGGGCUCAACCUGGGAACUGCAUUUGAAACUGCAUUGCUCGAAUGUGGAAGAGGGAAGCGGAAUUCCAGGUGUAGCGGUGAAAUGCGUAGAUAUCUGGAGGAACAUCAGUGGCGAAGGCGGCUUCCUGGUCCAACAUUGACAUUCAGGUGCGAAAGCGUGGGGAGCAAACAGGAUUAGAAACCCCGGUAGUCC
Molecule: ribosomal RNA, 450 nt
Filed under: uncultured bacterium
Lineage: Bacteria
Description: bacterial SSU rRNA
Rfam family: Bacterial small subunit ribosomal RNA
Source: RNAcentral